RNAcentral lists this ribosomal RNA (624 nucleotides) under uncultured bacterium. RNAcentral describes it as "bacterial SSU rRNA". It matches the Rfam family "Bacterial small subunit ribosomal RNA", at positions 167 to 790 of the family's 1533-position model. The record is from RNAcentral.
UACAAGAUGGCAUCAUGAGUCCGCAUGUUCACAUGAUUAAAGGUAUUCCGGUAGACGAUGGGGAUGCGUUCCAUUAGAUAGUAGGCGGGGUAACGGCCCACCUAGUCUUCGAUGGAUAGGGGUUCUGAGAGGAAGGUCCCCCACAUUGGAACUGAGACACGGUCCAAACUCCUACGGGAGGCAGCAGUGAGGAAUAUUGGUCAAUGGGCGAGAGCCUGAACCAGCCAAGUAGCGUGAAGGAUGACUGCCCUAUGGGUUGUAAACUUCUUUUAUAAAGGAAUAAAGUCGGGUAUGGAUACCCGUUUGCAUGUACCUUAUGAAUAAGCAUCGGCUAAUUCCGUGCCAGCAGCCGCGGUAAUACGGAAGAUGCGAGCGUUAUCCGGAUUUAUUGGGUUUAAAGGGAGCGUAGGCGGGCUUUUAAGUCAGCGGUCAAAUGCCACGGCUCAACCGUGGCCAGCCGUUGAAACUGUAAGCCUUGAGUCUGCACAGGGCACAUGGAAUUCGUGGUGUAGCGGUGAAAUGCUUAGAUAUCACGAAGAACUCCGAUCGCGAAGGCAUUGUGCCGGGGCAGCACUGACGCUGAGGCUCGAAAGUGCGGGUAUCAAACAGGAUUAGAUACCCUGG